CAGUCGCCGCGGUAAUACGUAGGUGGCAAGCGUUGUCCGGAACUAUUGGGCGUAAAGGGCUCGCAGGCGGUUUCUUAAGUCUGAUGUGAAAGCCCCCGGCUCAACCGGGGAGGGUCAUUGGAAACUGGGAAACUUGAGUGCAGAAGAGGAGAGUGGAAUUCCACGUGUAGCGGUGAAAUGCGUAGAGAUGUGGAGGAACACCAGUGGCGAAGGCGACUCUCUGGUCUGUAACUGACGCUGAGGAGCGAAAGCGUGGGGAGCGAACAGGAUUAGACACCCCGGUAGUCCCUGUCUCUUAUAC
RNAcentral lists this ribosomal RNA (301 nucleotides) under uncultured bacterium. RNAcentral describes it as "partial 16S ribosomal RNA". It matches the Rfam family "Bacterial small subunit ribosomal RNA", at positions 509 to 807 of the family's 1533-position model. The record is from RNAcentral.